Molecule: ribosomal RNA, 155 nt
Filed under: uncultured Bacteroidota bacterium
Lineage: Bacteria; Pseudomonadati; Bacteroidota
Description: uncultured Bacteroidetes bacterium partial 16S ribosomal RNA
Rfam family: Bacterial small subunit ribosomal RNA
Source: RNAcentral
UGAGGAAUAUUGGUCAAUGGACGCAAGUCUGAACCAGCCAUGCCGCGUGCAGGAUGACGGCCCUAUGGGUUGUAAACUGCUUUUGUACGGGAAUAAACCCCUCUACGUGUAGAGGGCUGAAGGUACCGUACGAAUAAGCACCGGCUAACUCCGUG